GUCACGAUAGCUCAAAUGGUAGAGCAGCGACCUGUCAAGGCGAAGAUGGUGGGUUCGAAUCCCGCUCGUGCCA
Molecule: transfer RNA, 73 nt
Filed under: Cimex lectularius (bed bug)
Lineage: Eukaryota; Metazoa; Arthropoda; Insecta; Hemiptera; Cimicidae
Description: tRNA-Asp
Rfam family: tRNA
About the family: Transfer RNA (tRNA) molecules are approximately 80 nucleotides in length. Their secondary structure includes four short double-helical elements and three loops (D, anti-codon, and T loops).
Source: Rfam by way of RNAcentral